UGACGCCUUAAAUCCAAGGGUUGCCAUC
Molecule: non-coding RNA, 28 nt
Filed under: Mus musculus (house mouse)
Lineage: Eukaryota; Metazoa; Chordata; Mammalia; Rodentia; Muridae
Source: RNAcentral